CCUACGGGGGGCAGCAGUGGGGAAUAUUGGACAAUGGGCGAAAGCCUGAUCCAGCAAUACCGCGUGUGUGAAGAAGGCCUGCGGGUUGUAAAGCACUUUAAGUUGGAAAGAAAAGUUAUUUGCUAAUACCAAGUAGCCGUGACGUUACCAACAGAAUAAGCACCGGCUAACUCUGUGCCAGCAGCCGCGGUAAUACAGAGGGUGCAAGCGUUAAUCGGAAUUACUGGGCGUAAAGCGUACGUAGGUGGCUAAUUAAGUCAGAUGUGAAAUCCUUGAGCUUAACUUGAGAACUGCAUUUGAGACUGUUUAGCUAGAGUAUGGUAGAGGGAAGUGGAAUUCCACGUGUAGCGGUGAAAUGCGUAGAUAUGUGGAGGAACAUCAGUGGCGAAGGCGACUUCCUGGACUAAUACUGACACUGAGGUACGAAAGCGUGGGGAGCAAACAGGAUUAGAUACCCCUGUAGUC
RNAcentral lists this ribosomal RNA (465 nucleotides) under uncultured Beggiatoa sp. RNAcentral describes it as "bacterial SSU rRNA". It matches the Rfam family "Bacterial small subunit ribosomal RNA", at positions 338 to 795 of the family's 1533-position model. The record is from RNAcentral. Lineage: Bacteria; Pseudomonadati; Pseudomonadota; Gammaproteobacteria; Thiotrichales; Thiotrichaceae.